AGAAUUCUAAAACAAAGAAAGAAAAAACGCGUAGGCCAAUUGAAUAAAUUAAAUUCAGAAAAGCCAUCUCUAUCUUAGUUUUUUCCAAGCAUUUUCCUUGGACAGCUGUUUGCAAGAAUAACAAUUAAAUCUUCAUUUUUUAUUUUAUUUUUGGAUUCCAGAAAUAAGAAAUUUCCACCACUGAUGAAUUCUUCUGCAGGUAACCCUCCAAUUAAUAAGACACUGUUCUCAUCCAACCCAAUUAAGUUAUAAAGUCAAAUUUAUUCUUUUCAACGCGUAUAUCAAACUAUAUAAUAAUAAAUAUAAUAUAUAAGUAUAAUAAUAAUAAUAUACUUAUGUGGUUCUUGUAACUGCAGCCAAAGAAACAGCAACUGCAACUAUGGAGCACAAGAAAUCAACAAGCAGGAAAAAAAGCAGCUUUGCAUUUAGGAUUCAUGAACAUG
This 443-nucleotide long non-coding RNA is filed under the name Trifolium pratense (red clover). Its description in RNAcentral is "long non-coding RNA (TPRA_LNC006043)". The record is from RNAcentral. Lineage: Eukaryota; Viridiplantae; Streptophyta; Magnoliopsida; Fabales; Fabaceae.